This 257-nucleotide ribosomal RNA is filed under the name uncultured bacterium. RNAcentral's name for it is "partial 16S ribosomal RNA". It matches the Rfam family "Bacterial small subunit ribosomal RNA", at positions 96 to 354 of the family's 1533-position model. The record is from RNAcentral.
UGGCGAACGGGUGAGUAAUACAUCGGAACGUGUCCGCUCGUGGGGGACAACCAGCCGAAAGGUUGGCUAAUACCGCAUGAGUUCUACGGAAGAAAGAGGGGGACCCGCAAGGGCCUCUCGCGAGCGGAGCGGCCGAUGACUGAUUAGCCGGUUGGUGAGGUAACGGCUCACCGAAGCAACGAUCAGUAGCUGGUCUGAGAGGACGACCAGCCACACUGGGACUGAGACACGGCCUAGACUCCUACGGGAGGCAGCAG